CUGCAGACACCUGGGUGUGGAUAGAAAUACAAGUGGGCAUCUGCUCUACGAUCACUUGGAAUGGCAGUCCUUCUCUAAUCUCUUGGGUACUGGUAGGGUCUGUAGACUGGACUGGGCUUUUGGGAAUCAUGAACCUGUUUGCUGGGUUGGCAGUGCUAUCUCUGUUAUUCUCCAAGGUUUGGCUCCAAGAUUAUCCAAUUGGACGACCUGAUAUUCUCCAACUCAAAAUGGAUUCGGGAUUUGGAUCAAGAGUAUUUCUUGUGUGGAACUCUUCCUAAUUCCUCAGGCCCUAGUGACUUCUCCCCAUGCCCAAAGGAACUUGUAUUUAUUUUCUGCACUUUUUUUUGGUUUCUCUACCUGGGAAUCUCUUUUUUUUUCCCUAGAUAAAUG
Molecule: long non-coding RNA, 390 nt
Filed under: Monodelphis domestica (gray short-tailed opossum)
Lineage: Eukaryota; Metazoa; Chordata; Mammalia; Didelphimorphia; Didelphidae
Description: lncRNA (ENSMODG00000041309.1)
Source: RNAcentral